GGGGGAAAUCUAUGGUGUUUGUCUGGGUUACUUUGUUUUAGUCUGUCAGAUUAUUUUCUUUAAAGUAAGCUAAAGUCAUUUAAAUGUCUAUCCUGUGUUUGUCUGGUGGAGUAUUGUAAGUGUCAUGCAAUAACCCUAUGUUUUUUAAAGAGAUUUACAGGGCAAGAAGUUGCACAUAUACAUAUGAAUCAAUGCACUUUGUCUGCUAUUAAAGAAAUGGUCCAUAUCAACCAUGUCUUCAGAAGAAUGAAUGUUAAACUAACUCGACCAUACCACAACAUUUUACACUAGAGUAGACUGACAGAUAGCAUUUUAUCAGUCAGCGUUUACAUGCACAGCUUAAUCGGACUAAGCUCAUAAUUCGUUUUUUUCAUUGAAUCGGACUUCUCUCCUUGUCUGUGUAUACAUGCGGCUGAGGAAAUCGAAUUAUUGACAUGGACAUGCCCUCCUCCCCAAAACUAGGGGGCGAUAUGGGUCUUUUCAGCGGCACUGUUUCUGGUUGACCCAACAACAACAGCAGGUCUGUGCCAGAUGUCAGAAGUGGCUACAACUGCUGCUGGGCAUUUUGGAGUCAGAAGAUGGAGCAUCAUACAGCGUUGUUUUUGUCGUACACGAUGUACUCGCUACUUUUUCUGCAGAUGAGAUGCACACUACUGCUCUUCGCUGGUGUUUUUGUUAAGGGGUUACAGGGGUGUGGCGCACAUGCACGUGCAUUGUCCUAUCAUACUCCGACUAGGCUGGUUACAUGGUAGAGAAAAUCAAAUUCCAAUCGCAUGAUCUGGGUGUCAUAAUCGGAGUCCUCCAACUCUAAUCGGAGUUCUCAAACCCUGAUUAUGGUCGGACUAAGGUGUUUACAUGCACUUCAGUUGUCUGGUCUUAAUCGAAGUAAGGCAAUAAUUCGGUUUUCUCAAGUUUCAUGUAAACAUACUGACUGUGGCUGCUUUGCUAUACUUAACACCAUGUCACAUUCGCCCUUAUACUCUCCCAUUCCUACACUGACGAUAGGGGCUGCCCAUGAAUAACUAACACUGUAUUUAUUUUCAUUGACUCACCAUGCACUGCUGGCCUUCAGGGUUCGGUGUCUUAUCCAAGUACACUUUGACAUGAAGACUCCAGGAGUUGGGGACCAAGCCCUGUCCUUUCAAACUGGACACAAGUUUACAAACUACACCGGUGUCACAACUUUCAAGUCCCACAGUAAGCCUCCUCUGCUGCACAGAAAGGGUCCCCACAACCCAAGUUCAGAAAUAGAUUUGAUCCGAACACAUCAUAUCCGCAAAGACCCACAGAUCACUUCAAAUCUACAAAAGCUGUAUGAUCUUGCUCAAGUUGUCUGUGAUCCAUCUUGCCAUGAAAGAGUAGGGUUUGGAGCUGUCCUCUUUCUCAGGUAAACAACCUCAGCAGAUAAGUUCCUACUGAUGGGAAUUCAAGCUCUGUACAAUGAUCCAGAUCACUUGGAUCAGCAAGAAUAUCUCCUCGGCCCCUAAAUGUCUCCUCAUAGUGUCGUUUGAGAACAAGUUUUUACCAAAGUAACAUCGAUAAUCAACAGAUUAAUUUAUGUUUGCCCAUUGUUCUGCUCUUUCAUGUUUUUAUAAAGUCUAUUGAAAUGUCUUCAUGGGCCAUUACAGUCUUGUAAUUUAGAUCUGAAUGAGAGCAUGACAUGUUUACUUUUAUUCUCAAUACAGUAAAUGGAUUUUUCCAAUGUGUCAAACAUUUCCUUUAAAACUUACAUUUGGCCCAACCCUAUGUAGGAAGAAUUUAUGGACAUGGUGCUGGUUGUGUACUUGUACGACUACUGUCAUGCACUUUUCUGUCUGGGAAAUCAGGGAGUAAGAAAACUCAUAUGGGCAUGAACUGAGUUUUAAACCUACUCACUCUCCCUGAUGUUACACUGACAGGAAAACCGGAUCUCUCUCUUUUCCUUGGCUCCUCUCUGGACUCACAUGGCUUCCACAGCAGCUGUCUCGCAUGCUAACUCUCUCUCUCUGUUUAAUUUCCCCUCCUCAUCCUGCCUCUCCUCUCCCUCUUCUUCCUCUUCCCUCCUCUGGGUUUGUUUGUUCUCCCUCAGCUCCCAGGUGUUUUCCUGCACCGCUCCGAGUUCCGCUAAAGCUCCUCUUCCGUUCUGACUCAGGUACAGUACAACGAAGGCUUCUCCCUCGCCACACACAACACUCAUCGCACUGAUCGAUACACACACAAGUGAUACACUGUUCACUUAUUCAAACACAGACGGCUUCCCAUCGCGCACAUACACACAUAUACACAAUAAUCACAUUCCUACACACACACACAAACACACGCGCUGCCUUAUUCCUGCCUCAUCCAACAAUAACACCACAAACCUUGCUUCCUGUGUGUGGGGGAACAAUAGUGGGAUAGCUUUGAUGGUCAGAGGUAGUUUGUUGUAGAUACUCCCUUAUCGGCCCAAACAUCACCACAUCAGUUAUGGAUCCUGGCAGCAGCUAUUAGGAGGAGCUUCUUCCUCAGCCAGUGUCAGGAUGUCAGGAUGUACAGGGGACAUGCGGCUGCAUUAACAGACAGCAUGUAAAAGGACAUGCGGGGUGGUUUUCUUAUAGGCUACAGGUUAAUUUCAAACAGUAUAUGUUGUCGUGAAGACUGCAUCCUGCGCAGUAGUUUGUGUAAAGUUAUGUGUACAUUUAAGAUCAAGUUUAUUCCUUCUUUUUCCUGAAUAUUGACCUUAAAUUAUAUUUUACUCUUAAUUGAUCACAACUGGUGCUAGAGAUUAUUAAUGCAGCAGAGUCUAUGAGGAACUUUCGGUUUGUGUCAGUUUUAGCACCCCUGUGGACAAAGCAGUCGUUGCUUAUCGUGUGCUUUACAUGCUCAAGUACUGUCUUCUGUCAAAAAAAUCCAACCUCUUAGACAGACAAAUGUAGCAAUUAAGGUGAAUAUUUUUUGGACAUUCUAAAACAGGGCUAUUUCUUUAACUCACACCUACCCCCUUGCAGCAGUCUCAUAUUCCGGCAUUUAUAAUUGUGAUACAAAAUUGUCAAACUUUUUGCAAAUGGUCUACUUUGUUUUUUUUCUUAUAUCACAAAAAGGCAUUGAAAGGAUGUCUUCAGUCUAUUAAAAAAAAAUCCCGGGUUUUUACACAAAAACGAAGUAUUUUACACAGCUCCUGUGAGGAGUUUAUAACUGUUUCUUAAAGAGACUGAAAUUUACAUUGCUGCUUUUUAAAUAGACAGAUAGAGGGAAAUUAAAAAAAGAAAAAAAAAAAAAAAGAAGGAACGCUUUACAAAUUUGCGUGUCAUCCUUGCGCUUAUGCACUACAAAAGCAAACUUCACGAUCAGCAGCAAAGAAAUUAAAAAAAAUGUAUGGACAUUUAACAUUUUUGUAUCCUCUGCGAGGGGGUAGGUGUCAGACCAGACAACUGACGACACAUAGAAACAGCCUUUUAGAUUGGAAGUUAAUGUUGUAAAGUUGACAGCUAAAAUGAAUCCCUGUGAAUUUUCUUUUUUAUUUUAGAAAAUAAUUGGACUCAAACCCAAAGUUUCUGACAGCAGCUUUAAGCAGGCUUAAUGAAAACUUCCUUCUGCUAGCAGUGCCACUGUAUGCUGUCCCUGACAUUAGCCCAAAACACACAUCAGCUAGAUGUAGCUCAUUAUUAGCUUACAAUAUAGCCUUGCAAUUAGCAAUGCAGCUCAGCCUGAUAGUCCUCUUUUCCAUCAUCAUCCUUAUUGUCGUCAGUGUCCCCAAGUUUGUUAUCAUGAUUGCUCUCUUAAAGGAAUAUUUGGGUAUUUUUGAAGUGGGUUUGUAUGCCAAGAGAGCCAAGGAAAAUGUUGCUUUGAGAUGGAACUAUGAGACAGAGGAAAAGUUUUUGUAACUCUGGCAAAACAUCCCUGUCUCAAUAAUUCCUCAUCAAGAUUACCACGAAAUUGCAUUGCAGGAAGCCAGUUGUGAGCAGAACCUCAACACAAGAAGGACAAUAAAAUAGAAAGAGUUGUUUGGUUCAUACAGAAGGUACAAAGCUGUGCACGUUUAUCGAUUGUUUUUGUUCCGGAUGUAAUAAGUCAGCUGGAUUCUGGGCCAAUACUUACAAGAUGAAAAGGAGCAUAUCAGUGCCAACUAUAGUGGAGGCAGAGAUAUUUUUUUAAUACAAAAAUUCUCGCCUGGUGCAUGUACACAAGAAAAAGACCACAAAAGUAUCAAAUCAUAAAUAUACGAGUUUACAGACAAGAGUAUUGCAGACUUACAGAGACCCACACUCACUUUUGAAAAUCAAAAAUAAGACUGCAACUUGUGCGGCAGAAGACUUAAAACCACAAACACACACGUCUCUGUUGCAUCACUUAUUCAGUGAGUAUCAAUGUGACCACUGAUUCAGGGGUCAUAAGGGUCCAGGCAGUGUUGGGGUAUCAGUCCCCUAGCAACACCCCUGGCCUAUUCAUUCAUGCAGCCCCUGUUCCUGCAGUCCAUGCUCUGCACUGUGUACCCACUGAUGCACCAUGUGUUUGUGUACAUGUGUGUCUGUGUAUCACUAUGGAGCUCAGCCUGCAGCAGCUGUGGACGGCUGUGUGAGUAUGUGUGUGAACUGCGCUGCGUGUGUGUUCUGCGUGGGAGAAAGGAGGCGAUGAGUCAUAGCACACAUACCACCAGGACACAACAGCUCCCCCUGUUGCCACGGCAGGGGAAGCCCCGGCAGUGUGGGUGUAUUGUCUGGGAGAACAGAGGCAACGGUGACAUCAUAGGACAUCUCUCUCCUACACCCAUCGGUGGAGGAGAGGGGGGGACAGGUGGAGGCAGUGGAUCUCUUUUGAAGGGUUGGGGAGAUUUUGUGCAUUUCUCUGUGUUCUCCUAAUGUGAGAGACUGAGUUCUUCUGAUGGGGGAAAGUCUGUCACUCAUCCCUGAUUUGUGCUUAUACCUGCAGCCGUCAUCAAGUAUUAGCUUUCAUGAAUGAGCCUCACUGUUACACUUUUUCAGAAGAGUUUUGCUAAAGCAUUGAUGGAAAUGUAAAGAGAAAAAAAAUAUUGACUUUAAAGCUACUGUAAGGAGUUUUUGACAUCAAUGAAAUGGACUGAAGUUCAUACUGAUGUCUCUUUAUGAUAUGCAAAAGUAUUGAUUGGUGAUUUUUAUAUGAUGAUUUCUAAGGCUUGGAUCUUGUGUAAGGGGUAAGUGUCAGUGGAGCCGCUGAAGAAAAGAACCCUGUUUACAUUUUCUGCAUAAGAAAUUACAAUUAAUGAUGGAUUUGAUUUUGAAGAAACUGUUUAAGCACAACUGCCUAGUCAACAGGGGGCGCAAUAAUUAGCAAAAACUGAAAGAUCCUUACAAAAGCUUUAAGUAACACCAAUGUACUCAGUGGAUUUGUCUGGGCCUUUUUUGGUACCUUAGACUCUAUGUCAUAUAUCAAUCUAAUUUUGUUCGGUUUUGAAUAUAAGAUGAAUAUGACUCAAAGUUUUAUUGAAGAUGAUUCAAAUUUUUUUUUUAAACUAUUUAUUGUUGUUUUAUGUUUUUAUGUUAUUAUGUACAGCACUUUGUGUCAGCUUUGGUUGUAUUUAAAGUGCUCUAUAAAUAAAGUUGAGUUGAGUUUUAAUUUAACGCUCCAGUGCAGAAUAAUUGUUUUGGCUGUAUGCUACUGACUGAAAUUCAUAUUUUUGGCAUUUUAUGGCUAUACAAAAGCAAACAAGACCAUCAGUGCCAAGAUUGACAGUUUCAAACUGUUAUGUCUCAUGGCUGAAACUGGUGUGAGGGGGUAAGUGUUCAUAGGGUUGCUGAAGAAAAGCCCUUGUUUUAUAUUUUCAGCAUCAGAUAUUUACAAAAAAUUAUACAUUUGACUGUCAAAAGCCAGUAGGACGAAUAAAUGACUCAGAAGUUGAGUACUUAAGCACAUAGAAGACUAUUUUGUCCACAAGGAGCGUCAAAAUUGGCAGAAACCAAAAGUUCUUAACAGGAGCUUUAACAUAAGAGUUUACACAUUGCCUCACAAAGGAAGCGUCGUGCUCCCCUUAUCCCAGGGGGGUUCAAACUU
Xyrichtys novacula (pearly razorfish) is the source of this 5985-nucleotide non-coding RNA. Lineage: Eukaryota; Metazoa; Chordata; Actinopteri; Labriformes; Labridae. The record is from the annotation of a GenBank genome assembly.